RNAcentral lists this ribosomal RNA (666 nucleotides) under Triticum aestivum (bread wheat). RNAcentral describes it as "partial small subunit ribosomal RNA". The record is from RNAcentral. Lineage: Eukaryota; Viridiplantae; Streptophyta; Magnoliopsida; Poales; Poaceae.
AUGGAACAACCAGAUGGGUUUGUAAUAGAUGGUCAGGAAGGAAAAGUGUGCAAGUUGCUGAAGUCUUUGUAUGGACUCAAGAAAGCACCCAAACAGUGGCAUGAGAAGUUCGAAAGAACUUUAACAGCUGCAGGCUUUGUUGUGAACGAAGCUGACAAAUGUGUGUACUAUCGCCAUGGUGGGGCAAAUCUGAAUGUUAUUAAGGAGGUCAAGGAUUUUCUAUCUCGCUGUUUUGAGAUGAAGGAUUUAGGAGUGGCUGAUGUCAUUCUGAACAUCAAGUUGUUGAGAGAUGAUGAUGAUGGGAUUACAUUGCUUCAAUCUCACUAUGUGGAAAAGAUCUUGAGUCGCUUUGGCUAUAGUGACUGCAAGCCCUCUCCGACACCAUAUGAUGCUAGUGUGCUGCUUCGAAAGAAUCGAAGAAUUGCUAGGGAUCAAUUGAAGUAUUCUCAGAUUAUUGGCUCGCUUAUGUACUUAGCCAGUGCUACAAGACGUGACAUCUCUUUUGCUGUUAGCAAACUGAGUCGGUUUGUCUCAAAACCAGGAGAUGUGCAUUGGAAAGCUCUAGAGAGAGUUUUGCAUUAUUUGAAAGGAACUGCAAAUUAUGGAAUUCACUACACCGGGCACCCAAAGGUGCUUGAAGGGUAUAGUGACUCAAACUGGAUCUGA